AUUUAAUUAGUAUAAAUUAGUACAUUUAACUUCCAAUUAAAAAGUUUAAUAAAAUUAAAUA
This 61-nucleotide transfer RNA is filed under the name Haemaphysalis tibetensis. Its description in RNAcentral is "tRNA-Gly". The record is from RNAcentral. Lineage: Eukaryota; Metazoa; Arthropoda; Arachnida; Ixodida; Ixodidae.